AUGAACGCUGGCGGCGUGCCUCAUCCAUGCCAGUCGCGCGAACAGACGAGGAGCUUGCUCCUCUGACGUUAGCGGCGGACGGGUGAGUAACACGUGGAUAACCUACCUAUAAGACUGGGAUAACUUCGGGAAACCGGAGCUAAUACCGGAUAAUAUAUUGAACCGCAUGGUUCAAUAGUGAAAGACGGUUUUGCUGUCACUUAUAGAUGGAUCCGCGCCGCAUUAGCUAGUUGGUAAGGUAACGGCUUACCAAGGCAACGAUGCGUAGCCGACCUGAGAGGGUGAUCGGCCACACUGGAACUGAGACACGGUCCAGACUCCUACGGGAGGCAGCAGUAGGGAAUCUUCCGUAAUGGGCGAAAGCCUGACGGAGCAACGCCGCGUGAGUGAUGAAGGUCUUCGGAUCGUAAAACUCUGUUAUUAGGGAAGAACAAAUGUGUAAGUAACUAUGCACGUCUUGACGGUACCUAAUCAGAAAGCCACGGCUAACUACGUG
This 496-nucleotide ribosomal RNA is filed under the name uncultured bacterium. Its description in RNAcentral is "partial 16S ribosomal RNA". It matches the Rfam family "Bacterial small subunit ribosomal RNA", at positions 29 to 507 of the family's 1533-position model. The record is from RNAcentral.